ACGCAAGUUGCGCCCGAAGCCAUCCGGUUGAGGGCACGUCUGCCUGGGCGUCACGCAUCACGUUGCCCCCCAAACAUCUAUUUAGAUGUUCUGGUUGGGGCGGAGAUUGGUCUCCCGUGCCCUUGCAUGGUUGACCUAAAUAUGAGUCUCCUCACGAGAGACGCACGGCUAGUGGUGGUUGAUAACACAGUCGUCUCGUGCCGUACGUUUAUGUUUGUGAGUGUCUAGACUUGUGAAAAACCUGACGCGUCGUCUUCAGAUGAUGCUUCGAU
Molecule: unclassified non-coding RNA, 272 nt
Filed under: Echinacea purpurea
Lineage: Eukaryota; Viridiplantae; Streptophyta; Magnoliopsida; Asterales; Asteraceae
Description: sequence contains 18S rRNA gene, ITS1, 5.8S rRNA gene, ITS2, 28S rRNA gene
Source: RNAcentral